Long non-coding RNA from Ostrinia nubilalis (European corn borer), 717 nucleotides. RefSeq lists it as uncharacterized. The record is from RefSeq and is a predicted model, not a curated record. NCBI's taxonomy places the organism in Eukaryota, Metazoa, Arthropoda, Insecta, Lepidoptera, Crambidae. The transcript is spliced from 3 exons.
AAUUGGACGCAUCUACUGAUGUUGAUGGCACAAUGAGUUUAGAAGACCAUGUUCUGUUAAGUAUAGUAUUAGAAAUAGAAGAUAAUGAAAUUUUGAACUAUUUGGGAAGUCUAGACGAGCUGUAUCUCACCAAGUUAGCGGUAGUUACAAUGGAUAACAAAAUCACCACCCCUCAUUACGAAAAUGUUGUGCAUAAGAGAGAUAUUAUAGAAACACUGGGUUUAGAUGAGAACGUGGUUCAUAUAGAUAAUGAACUUAUGGAAAAUGAUGCGCAUAAGUUUAUAAAUGCAACGAAGUUUUUGAUGAAGAUAGAAGAAGCUGUGAAUAAUGUCACCAUUGUCACCAAGCCUGUAAAGAAAGCUAUUUUAAUCGGACGUCCAAAAUCUUACAAUAUUGAAGAACUAAACGAUAUUGGAACUCAUUCUCCACCAGAAAACACUAAUCCUCACGAAGAUAUACCUAGUCCAGACCAUGCAAAGAUAGAUCGUGAUGUUUAUUUGGAAUAUGCACUGCUAGAUGUUCAAGACGAAAACCUAACGUCUUUGCCAGAAUCUCUAAAUAUGAAUUACGAAAAUAUAACAGAGAAGCAUGAAAAUUCAAGCAGCAUUGAUGAGUCACAGAGCGUAACUUCUUCAUCUGAAAUUAUGAUGCAACAACAUAUUUCUUUGUCCGAUGAUGUUAGCCAAGAAAAUUCAGGAUUUUCUUUGACAGAACACA